This 364-nucleotide ribosomal RNA is filed under the name uncultured fungus. RNAcentral describes it as "eukaryotic LSU rRNA". It matches the Rfam family "Eukaryotic large subunit ribosomal RNA", at positions 40 to 398 of the family's 3401-position model. The record is from RNAcentral. Lineage: Eukaryota; Fungi.
AUAUCAGUAAGCGGAGGAAAAGAAACUAACCAGGAUUCCCUCAGUAACGGCGAGUGAAGUGGGAAGAGUCCAAAUUUAAAAUCUGGCUUGAUUUCAAGUCCGAAUUGUAGUUUAAAGAGACGUUAUCGACGAGACUUUAGUUGUCCAAGUUCCUUGGAAUGGGACAUCACAGAGGGUGAAAAUCCCGUCUAGGCAGUUAGAAGUCGAGUCACAUGAGGCGUUCUCCAAGAGUCGAGUUGUUUGGGAUUGCCGCUCAAAAUGGGUGGUAAACUCCAUCUAAGACUAAAUAUAGGCAAGAGACCGAUAGCAAACAAGUACCGUGAGGGAAAGAUGAAAAGCACCUUGAAAAGGGAGUUAAAAGCGC